UACGUAGGGUGCGAGCGUUGUCCGGAAUUAUUGGGCGUAAAGAGCUUGUAGGCGGUUUGUCGCGUCUGCCGUGAAAGCCCAGGGCUUAACCCUGGGUCUGCGGUGGGUACGGGCAGACUAGAGUGUGGUAGGGGAGACUGGAAUUCCUGGUGUAGCGGUGAAAUGCGCAGAUAUCAGGAGGAACACCGGUGGCGAAGGCGGCCUGCUGGGCAGUAGCUGACGCUGAGGCGCGACAGCGUGGGGAGCAAACAGG
This 253-nucleotide ribosomal RNA is filed under the name uncultured bacterium. Its description in RNAcentral is "partial 16S ribosomal RNA". It matches the Rfam family "Bacterial small subunit ribosomal RNA", at positions 524 to 776 of the family's 1533-position model. The record is from RNAcentral.